AAUUAAAAUAAUACUGUUUGUAUGUACUUUAUAACUGCCUUUAUAACUAUAAUUUCAUGUUGUUUUAACGGACUGAAAUUGAUGGAGAUAUUUUAAUGAACCUAACUGAGACUACGAAAGCUUAAAUAUUACCAAAAAUGAAGGAUAAAGUUAAAUUCAUAAGAUUACAAGAAAACCUAAAGACUGAGAUGCCAGCAAGACCACAGACACCAUGAAUGGAUGAUCUAUCUGGCCAAGAUUUGUAUCAAAAGAGGCCAAGACCAGUAGGGGUAAGUGUCACAGACAGAGUCUGGUGGCACAGACAGUGAUCAACGAGUGCCAAAGAAGAGCAGUUGGGGUAGAUAUUGUUACUGAGUUGAAUGAAGAAAAACAAAUCUGCGUUGGUUUGGCACACAAAGGUCUGAAUGGUUGCUGCUGUCCUGCUGUUUCCACUUCUAUUAAAGGAGAGUCAGAGAUCUUUUCAUGUCAUCAGUGAGGAACCACAUACACCCAACCCAUGCUGUUUAUAAAGGGACGUGCCUUGGAUGCAGAGUCUAUUUCAGAAAUAAUGAUGGAAGGGGAGGAGGAGGUCUGAGAAGUAGACAAUGUGAACACGGCUCUACACUUCAUCUUCAACAAUGAAUAUGCUUCAAAGUUGAGAGACACCCUGACAUUCAUUGAAAACUGUUUAAUGUAUUGUGACGCGUGUCCCGAGACCUCAUCAGCGUCGCCCUGGAAACGGAGGAGGAUCACCUGCACGCCAUCAACGCAGGCUGGCCGGCCACACCUGAGCCCAAUUACGGGACGCAUAUAUAAGCCGCCAGAAGGCUCAGACGGGCGAGACAUGACUCCAGUUGUUGCAUCGCUAACUUUCCUCUCUUCUGUGAACAGAGAGCAGCGUCUGACCGGCCAGCCCCGAGGCACACUCACUGCACGGACACCAGACCCUCACCCACGUGGAGCACGGAAAGAAGCAGAUCCUGGAGCAUGAAGACUCCUCACACGAGCACUACGGCACGACCACAAUACACAAUAAACGCACCCUUCGGGGCCUUUAUUGAUCUCACCUUGUCGUGUGAUUCUUCCUCCCGUUACAGUAUCAUAAUGCCAAAACCAAUAUGCCAGCCACAAU
Molecule: long non-coding RNA, 1111 nt
Organism: Onychostoma macrolepis
Lineage: Eukaryota; Metazoa; Chordata; Actinopteri; Cypriniformes; Cyprinidae
Exons: 4
Source: RefSeq, a predicted model, not a curated record